This 302-nucleotide ribosomal RNA is filed under the name uncultured bacterium. RNAcentral's name for it is "partial 16S ribosomal RNA". It matches the Rfam family "Bacterial small subunit ribosomal RNA", at positions 508 to 808 of the family's 1533-position model. The record is from RNAcentral.
GCAGUAGCCGCGGGAAUACGUAGGUCCCGAGCGUUGUCCGGAUUUAUUGGGCGUAAAGCGAGCGCAGGCGGUUAGAUAAGUCUGAAGUUAAAGGCUGUGGCUUAACCAUAGUACGCUUUGGAAACUGUUUAACUUGAGUGCAAGAGGGGAGAGUGGAAUUCCAUGUGUAGCGGUGAAAUGCGUAGAUAUAUGGAGGAACACCGGUGGCGAAAGCGGCUCUCUGGCUUGUAACUGACGCUGAGGCUCGAAAGCGUGGGGAGCAAACAGGAUUAGAUACCCCUGUAGUCCCUGUCUCUUAUACA